AUGGAGCAUGGAACAUAUACAUCAGCAGUUCAUGUUCACUCCUUAAAUGGUCAUUCAGAGAAGCAUGUAGCCUGCUGCAAAAAUAUAAUAAUGGCUCAUCCAAGCGAUGGUGGCAGCGGCGGCCGCCGGUGCUUAGCCCGUCUCCUCCAGCCACGGCCGGCCGCCUCUUGCCGCCUCCUCGGGUCGUCGCAUCGCCUCCUCGGGUCGCCUUCGCCUCCUUGGGUCUUCAUCGCCUCCUCUAAUCCUCUUGCUUGGGUCGCUGUCGCCUCCUCUUGCUCCAACUCGAUGUCGGCGUCAGCUUCAGCGGCGGCGAACCAGCAGCCAGGCGGUGUUGUGUCAAGCACAGCAUCAAUAGCUACACAGGGAGAAGGAGCACAUGUUGUUCCUAGAUCAAAAGAUCCAGCAUGGAAAUAUUGCACAUGUCCGGACAUCAGCAAGAAGAACUGUCUAAAAUGCAUAUUCUGCGGUCAUUUGUCCAGCAAUGGCACUAGUCGAAUCAAAUUGCACCUUUCAUGCAUUCCUAAGUCUGGUGUGGAUCACUGUGAGAAAGUGCCAGCUGAUGUCAAAGAGGAGAUCCUUCAGUACUUGACAAAGAAGGGUGACAAAAAGGCAGCCAAGCUUAUGGAGCAGAAGAGAUGCAGAAAUAGAGUUGACUUGAGCCACUCGGAGGGGGAAGAACAAGCUACAAGUGAUGAAGAUGGCCUAAACCAUUCUGCACUUGUGCUUCAGCCAUCGAGAUCAACAAGAAAUAAAUCUAAAUCUUCAAGUGGCCCUAUGGAAAAAUACUGUGAAUUAAUUCCCGAAGAGCUUGUUGCCGCAAGGAAGAGGAAACGUGUCACACUUCCCAGCUUUGACCUCAUGCUUCAGCCAAUUGGACAGUAUGGUGAGGACUUGGACGGUCCUACUCCUUAUGAAAUGGGUGGCCCAAUAUUGAAUAAGAGGAAGAAAAGAGUUCAGGAGUCCUUCAAUGCACACAAGAAGACUUGGGAGCUUACUGGAUGUACAAUCAUGACAGAUGCAUGGACCGACAUAAGAGGAAGAGGGGUAAUGAAUCUUGUAGUUCAUAGUGCUCAUGGUGUGGUGUUUGUUAAUUCUGUGGACUGUUCAGCCGUGAAGAAAGAUGGGAAGUACAUCUUUGAGCUUGUUGAUAGAUGCAUAGAAGAGGUUGGUGAGAAGCAUGUGAAAGGACGUGAUUCAAACCAAAGUGUGCGCUCUGAAAUUUUUUGGACGGGAGUAGAACGUGCUGUCAACUUCUUUGAGCCUUUGGCUAAUUUGCUGCGGCGAAUGGACAGCGAUGUACCAGCUAUGGGUUUCAUAUAUGGCGCUUUUUUGGAUGCAAAGAAGGAGAUUGUAGCUAGAUUUGACAAUGAGGAGGCUAGUAUCCAGGAAGUGCUACACAUUAUUGAUAAGAGAUGGGACAACAAAUUGAAGGGGCCCCUACAUAGGGCUGGAUACUUCUUAAACCCAUACUACUACUAUGAAACAAGCUGGAGAUUGAGUUGGAUGGAACAUUUAAAGAUGGCCUUGUUGCUUGCAUGGAGAAGAUGGUUAGAGAUGGGGUCGUUUGGAAGGGACAGUGCUAAAAGGCAGCGGAGAAACAAGAACUUUGAUCCAGCUGAAUGGUGGUCCAAUCAUGGAUCAAGUGCACCAAAUCUUAGGGUACUGGCUAUGCGGAUUUUGAGCUUGACAUGCAGCUCAUCAGCUUGUGAGAGAAACUUCAGUGUUUUUCAGCAGGUUCAAGGCAGCAAAAGGCGCAACAGGCUACUUCAUGACAAAAUGAAAGAUCUUGUCCUCAUCAAGGCCAACUUCCAACUUGAACAAAAGAGAAUGAACAAAGACAGGGAUCCACUUGUGGUCAGAACACAUGCAGAUGUUGUGGAAGAUGAAGAUAACGAGUGGAUCACAGGAAUUGUGCCGGUUCCAGUUGUGGAUACUGCAGAUGAACCUGAAGAAGAACCAAUACCACAACCGAGAGCAAGAGCUGCUGCAUCAAAAAGAAAUAAAGCUCGUCAGCCUAGGAAGAAGUUGCUCCCAGUUUUUCGUGAUGAUUAG
RNAcentral lists this ribosomal RNA (2052 nucleotides) under Triticum aestivum (bread wheat). RNAcentral describes it as "partial small subunit ribosomal RNA". The record is from RNAcentral. Lineage: Eukaryota; Viridiplantae; Streptophyta; Magnoliopsida; Poales; Poaceae.